CCUACGUGUGGCUGCAGUGGGGGAUAUUGCACAAUGGGGGGAACCCUGAUGCAGCGACGCCGCGUGGGUGAAGGAGCGUUUCGGCGCGUAAAGCCCUAUCGGCAGGGAAGAAGAAGACGGUACCUGGCCAAGCAGCCCCGGCUAACUACGUGCCAGCAGCCGCGGUACUACGUAGGUGGCAAGCGUGUACCGGAUUUACUUGGUGGAAGGGGGGCGCAGACGGCAAUGCAAGCCAGGAGUGAAAGCCCGGGGCCCAACCCCGGGACUGCCCUUGGAACUGCAUGGCUGGAGUACAGGAGGGGUAGGAGGAAUUCCUAGUGUAGCGGUGAAAUGCGUUGAUAUUAGGCGGAACACCGGUGGCGAAGGCGGCCUGCUGGACUGUGACUGACGUUGAGGCCCGAAGGCGUGGGGAGCAAACAGGAUUAGAUACCCGGGUAGUC
Molecule: ribosomal RNA, 440 nt
Filed under: uncultured bacterium
Lineage: Bacteria
Description: partial 16S ribosomal RNA
Rfam family: Bacterial small subunit ribosomal RNA
Source: RNAcentral